UACGUAGGGUGCAAGCGUUGUCCGGAAUUAUUGGGCGUAAAGAGCUCGUAGGCGGUCUGUCACGUCGGCUGUGAAAACCCGAGGCUCAACCUCGGGCCUGCAGUCGAUACGGGCAAACUAGAGUACUGCAGGGGAGACUGGAAUUCCUGGUGUAGCGGUGAAAUGCGCAGAUAUCAGGAGGAACACCGGUGGCGAAGGCGGGUCUCUGGGCAGUAACUGACGCUGGAGGAGCGAAAGCGUGGGGAGCAAACAGG
This 254-nucleotide ribosomal RNA is filed under the name uncultured bacterium. Its description in RNAcentral is "partial 16S ribosomal RNA". It matches the Rfam family "Bacterial small subunit ribosomal RNA", at positions 524 to 776 of the family's 1533-position model. The record is from RNAcentral.